Molecule: long non-coding RNA, 29324 nt
Filed under: Malus domestica (apple)
Lineage: Eukaryota; Viridiplantae; Streptophyta; Magnoliopsida; Rosales; Rosaceae
Description: long non-coding RNA (MDOM_LNC010038)
Source: RNAcentral
GGACAAGUGGAGAAAUAAAGAGAAUAUUGCAUUGGAUGUAUAGGAAAAUUAAAACUAACAGAAGAUUAAUGUUCUUAAGUAUCCAAAUUUAGAGAAGCUAACCCAAUUCCUUUGGUUCCACCGGUGACAAGAGCUGUCAUUCCACGUAGAGACCAUGUCCUCUCUCUGCUAUUCAUCUCUAUCUGCUCUCUAAUCUUCCUGUCUGCUCUCUAAUCUAUCUUUAUGCAAAUACUUUGUGGUUUCGGUUAUAUUUCUUUUCGAUAGGAUAACUAUUGUAUAUUUUGGCGGCCAGGGAAAGGUACGCGUGCCAUCUGUUCAUUCAGCAACUUGCAACAUUUUGGUUGCUUGUUUUGACGUGGCAAACUAAUGCAAAUUGAUUGUCCAAUUUGAAUUUGACUAAAUUAUAUUUCAUCCAAUUUCAACAUCUUACAAUGACUGUCUAUUUCAUACAACUUUCGAUUCAAUCGUUACACAGUGAUUCAAUAAUUCAGGACGAAUUCUAAUCUCAUAUUCUAUAAAGCUCGUUUUGAAUUUGAUUCGUGACACCGAUGAAUUAUACACUAUAAAGAAUUGAAGUUUAAAGAACACUAUUUCAACAAACUUUUGGAACUAGAAAGCAAAGAUACUUUUGGAGCUAGAAACAAAUGGAAGGUAUUACGGUUCGUCCUGAACGAGAUCGAUGUCUUUUCGGUUAAUUUUUCAGCAAAUAGACAUGUCAUUGAGAGUAUUGUUUAAACCCAUAAACAUUUUGAACUAUUUUUACUUAACAUCAUCAUAUUUAAAAGGGCUUUAGUUAUUUCACUAGCACUUUCAAUUGGAAACCGCCCCCUGUAACAAGCUAGACAUAUGAAGUUAUGAGAAUACUUAAAGAGCAAGUCGUCCAAAUCAUCUUUAGGUAAUCUUUGGAGGGGUCAGUUGAUGUUGCUUAAAGAGUUUUUGUAACAUUUCUCGUCUAAGUUCACCUCAGUACUUAAGUUUAAUUAUUUUUUAAUCUUUAAUUGUACGAAAAGAAAAAAAAGGGACAUAUAACAUGAAUGUAGGGUCAUCAUAUCAACUAAAAAAGCUUCAUUGGAGUAUUUCGUCGAGCACCUAGUAGGCACCUACCAAUUCCUGCCAACAUAUACCGAAAGCUUAUGCUAACGUAUGUCGACAACUAUUAUUAUUGUAGAGGCUUGUCAAUGGUGGAUGCAAGAUGCCGUGGAGUAAUGUUGAAGAUUGUUAAGACUUGUCAACUAAGGUAUUUCAUUGAGCACAUGGUGGUCACAAUAGAAUCACACAAGAGGAGAGAAAGAAGACAAAUGUGAUAGAAUAAAGUAGAAGAAGUAGGAGGAGGAGGUUGUAAAUUUCGUUUGCCUUAGUUGUUUAUAGGGGUCAAAUAUAAUACGCAAACAAAUAUACAUGAAGGUUUUUAACUUGUUGGGUCAAGAGCAACCAAUGAUCUUAUGCUGACUUUGUCACUGAUAAUAAGAUCCCUGUCUUAAUUUUUUGCUAAGAACAUAAAAAAUCUUGUAUCGUUGAGUAUUGAUAGGAACAUGUCAUCAGCCUUGUUGUAUCUUUGAGGGGCCAAGGAAAAAGAUGAUGUGCAAUGCUUCUUGAGGAGUUUUGUUGUUUCUCAAUAAAAUCUAGUCAUUUGAAUUUCUUGCUUCUAGUACUACCUAAUGCUUGAAGUUUGAACAUGUUAUAGAAGCAUUUUUUAUUGUUUUGAUCAUACAUACAUGUCGAUCAUUUUCAAUGAACUGGCGAUUUCGGUGGUGCUCUUUGAGAUGUUGGAGUCUUCUCUUCAUCAGGUUUGGCGUGAUCUCAGGCGUUUGUUGGUGGCGUUCUAGCGGCGGCGAAGGGUAGCAAGUUGCUAGGGUUUGUUGCGGUUUUUUUCUUUUGGGUGGUCUCAAACUUUUGUUUUGGGCCAUUUUUGCUUUACUCUGGAGGCCUACAUCUAUGUUGUGUGCUUAUUGUGAUUGAGCUUCUUUCUUUGUAAUUAUGUUGUCUUGAUAAUAAUUUUAUCCUUUAAAUAAACAACAAAAAAAAAUUUUCCAAACUUGGAAGCUCUUCUACUAGAGUGAAACGAAAUGUCAAUAGACCGAAUGGUUGGCAAUCUUUUAUUUACAUAUUAAAUUAUAAAUUAAUGUCACCUAUUUUCACAUACAAUUAAAGCACACCACUUUAGAAUUAGAUACGAGAUUUUAUUUUUCCAGACCUGCAGCACUGUCUCUACGACUGCAUAUGCAAUUAUGUAUCCAUGCAGAACUGUUUCCAAGUCAUGCUCCUUGGAAGAGCAAGCCAUUGACGGUCACCCCGCCGUCGACGAUAAUAGUCUGCCCAGUAAUGUAAGAGGCUGCAGGUAGACAUAGAAAUGCUACCAAGGAAGACACCUCCUCUGGCUCUCCAGGACGUCCUAAAGGGCACCGAGAGUUUAUCAUCUCCAAUUUCUUUUCAUUUCGGAGAAACUGCAUGCAAAGAAGAGAUAAUAGAUGAAAAGAGAAUGGAUGUGUAGGACACAUGUAUUAGCGACGAUCUUAAUAAUUGGUCAAGUUAUUCGUAAACAAAUUAAUUAAGAUUAGAAGUAUGAUCUAAACUUGCUGUAAACAAGUCAGGUCUAAGAACCUAUACAUGAAUAAACAAGACAUAUGGACUUUUGGCAAAACCCAACUUUUUAUUCUAAUUUCAAUUAUGGGCUUUUGGCAGAAUCAUCAACGAAAUACGAAUUGGCUUGAAAUUAUGAGAUGAUUGUAAAUAUAAGAUGUUAAAAGAAUUCACUCAUGUAUCUUAUAUGUAGUUUUGAUUUUCCUGCCGCAACAUCGAUUGUAUUUAAAAAUAAAUAAAAAUAAAAUGCAUGCACAAGAACGUGAUCCGAAUAAUCUUACAGGUUCAGCGAGGGGAGUCGUGAUGAACCAAGGUGCCACACUGUUGGUCCUUAUGUUAUCCUUCGCCCACUCACAUGCUAAGUUUUUUGCUAACUGAUUCAUUGCACCUGAGAUACAGUAAAGAAAAGCCACACUUUGGUCUAACAUUAAAAAUCACACACCAAAAACAGCGUAAUCAAAUUUUAGGUUAGUCUAAAAGUGAUAUAAACAAUAUAUGAUACUUUUAAAUUUUUUAAUCUGAUGUAAGGUGUUAGUCUAAAAGUGAUAUAUUUUUUUCAAAGAAUUGAAUGAAUUUUUAACUAAUUAUAAACAAUAUAUGAUACUUUUCAAUUUUUAAUAAAAGUCGGAAAUCUAUAUAAGGAUUAACUAUAAGCACCUUUAGUGGCAGAAUAUAUAGAUUCACCAUCUAUUGAGACCACACCAGCAGUAGAGGACAAAAAAACAAUGCUAGCAGCUCCUGCAGCUUUGAGAAGAGGAUGUGAAAGCUGGCAAAAGUUGUAAGCAGAUUCAAGAUUGGUACUCAUUAUGAAUGAGUAAUCUUCAGCUGUGUACUCUAGCGUUGCUUUCGUCAAGCUAGUCCCCACAUUGUUUAUCUAUAACAAGACAUUAUUGUAAAGGUUUAGCAUAACAUAACGAUUUUAGCUUAUAUGUAUUAUUGAAAAAUGCAUGAAAAUUAUGUGUAUUAAACGUAAAAAGUACAUAUAUACGUGUACACAUUUUUGAGUUUUAAAAAACUUACAAUCUUACAAAUUAUUGAAUUUUGAAAUGUGUACAACAGAGUUAUUUACGAGAGGAUGUUUAGUUUGUCUUGAAAGUGUGAUGAUGAUUCAUGAUUCAUCCACAUAUCUUAUUUCGUCCUGGUUUGGUACUGAGGUGAUUCUGAAAAAAGUAGAUAUCAAAAAAAGUUCCCAGCUUUUUUAUGUUUGGUAAACAUUCAGCUUCAACUUUUUUUCACAGUUUUGGGUGAAAAAAAACCAAAAACACAAAGCUGCAAAACCUAGCUUUGAAAAACCAGUUUUUUUUUCACAUCUGUUUUACAUAAAAGUUUAUCAAACACUAUAAUAUUGUUUUUUUUUUUAAAAGUACUUUUACAAAAAAGUUUACCAAACACUCUACUGCUUUAUUUUACAGUUGCUUAUUCUCACAGCAUAGCAGAAACAAUUUUUUUCAAAACACAACAAUACCAAACCAGCCCUUCAACUGAUCAAUCUUUACUUACAAGGAUGUUGAGUUUGCCAUCAAAAAGUGAUGAGACCUUGUUUAUAAGCUCCUCUCUUUGGGUUUUUGACACCACAUCACAGACUGAGCCUGUGACUUGAAAACCCUUCUUCUCCCACUGACUCUGGCAGUCAUUAAGGUCAACUUCUUUCGGGAACAAGUAUGCACAAUUGCACCCAGCCCUGCCAAUUCCUCCACUAUCGCAUACCUAAAUAAAACUUUACUAAUUUAACAUAGAGCAAUACAAAAUAAUUCAAACCCAUAAUUCUAAAACAGAAGAAAACAUGGGACAAGUGGAGAAAUAAAGAGAAUAUUGCAUUGGAUGUAUAGGAAAAUUGAAACUAAAAGAAGAUUAAUGUUCUUAAGUAUCCAAAUAUAGAAGCUAACCCAAUUCCUUUGGUUCCACCGGUGACAAGAGCUGUCAUUCCACGAAGAGACCAUCUCCUCUCUCUGCUAUUCAUCUCUAUCUGCUCUCUAAUCUAUCUUUAUGCAAAUACUUUGUGGUUUUUAUUAUAUUUCUUUUCGAUAGGAUAACUAUUGUAUAUUUUGGCGGCCAGGGAAAAGUACGCGUGCCAUCUAUUCAUUCAGCAACUUGCAACAUUUUGUUUGCUUGUUUUGGCGUGGCAAACUAUGCAAAUUGAUUGUCCAAUUUGAAUUUGACUAAAUUAUAUUUCAUCCAAUUUCAACAUCGUUCAAUGACUUUCUAUUUCAUACAACUUUCGAUUCAAUCGUUCAAUAGUUCAGUACGAAUUCUAAACUCGUAUUCUAUAAAGCUCGUUUUGAAAACUUGAUUCGUGACACUAAUGAAUUAUACACUAUAAAGAAUCAAAGUUUAAAGAACACUAUUUCAACAAACUUUUGGAACUAGAAAGCAAAGAUACUUUUGGAGCUAGAAAACAAAAGGAAGGUAUUACGGUUCGUCCUGAACGAGAUCGAUGUCUUUUUGGUUAAUUUUUCAGCAAAUAGACAUAUCAUUGAGAGUAUUGUUUAUAGGCAUACAAUUCUUCUUGCUCCACAUUUUUUAAGGUUAAAUUACAUUUUACCCCAUCAAGUAUGGUAUAAAUUACAACCUUAUACAACAUCUUUAAAACAUUUCAAUUUCAUACAUUUAAUUAUAUUUUAUUUUCAGUUUUAUACAUCCGUUAAAAUAUCUGUUAAGUCAACCGUUACAUGAUAAUGUGGUAAAUGAUGACAUGAUUCUCAACUUUGCACCAUGUGAAUAAGAAAAUAAUAAAAAAGGAUUAUUUAAUAAAAAAUCAAUUUAUAUUAUAAUUAAAAACAAACAAAAAUUGAAAAGGGCAUCUGGGCAAUCACCCUCUUCCUCCUCCAGCACCACCACCAACGCACCUACGAAACCCUAGCCGUAAAGAGAAACGCGCACAGCUUCCAUCUCUCUAUCGGCAUAGCCCCAUGUACGAUCAGCCAUGGGCAAAUUUCACGGAUCGUUCGCACAUGCCCUUAUCCAUUCACGCAAGGACCUGCAACCAGAUAUCGACCCGCUACUGAAACCCAGACCAUAAAUCUGAUUGAAGCCCAAACCACUGCCGCACCUGAUCGAUUCUGAACCACGAAUCUGUUCUGAACCACCGCUACGAUAUUAGACCCGAUGAACCACAAAGAGCUGCCAUUUGAUUGUCGCGAUGACCUCUGCCGCAAUCUGUUUGAACCACCGCACCGCGCCCAGACCCCUGCAUCCACAAGCCCGACCUGCUUGCCUCGAGCAGAUGUAACCAAAAAAGCCGGUACCCUUACCAUAUUUGUACUGCACCUGCAUCCACUAGCACCGUCUAGCGCCUGUAUCAAGCCAAAUCCUCAUUUAUUUUCUAUUUUCGUGGUGAAAGGGGGCUUCAAGCCCAGAUCCUAUUUCGUCAAUUUUAAAUGGAGUUGAAAUGAAAUUUUCAAAAUCUUUACAAUUUUUUAAAUUUGCAAAUCAAAGGAAUUCAUAAAAUGAACACAAUUUCAUCAAUUUGGAGCUUUUGAAGUUGUUAAGGGUUGAAGAGGAGGAGGAAAACGAGUUUGGAGAAAGAAAGGCGGCGAGGUUGCUCGAGAAGAUGUAGGGUGGGGUGGGGGGGGAGGUUGCGGGGGAGGUGGGGGGUGGGGCGGGAAGGGUGGGUUUGGGUUGCGGGGAAGGGGAAGGGGGGCGGUUGCGGGUGGUUUUUUUGGAUGGGAGGGUAGGUGAAGAGAGUCGAGGAGAGGAAGAAGGUAGGUGGGGAAGAUGGGUUUCAGUUUUUUUUUUAUUUUUUAAGUGUAAAUUAUUAUAUUUUAAAUGCAUAAAAAAUUAAUUUGUUUGUCAUGGCAUAAAUUUAGCAAUCAUGUCAGCAUAAAUGUAGAUCUCAUAUUUGUCACGUCAUCAUUUAAUUGUAUAUAUGAAAUUGAUAUAAAAUGAUAAGUAGAUGCAUGAAAUUAAAAUGUUUGUAAGAUAACAAUAUAUAUGAAAUUGAAAUAAAAUGAUAAGUAAAUGUAUGAAAUUAAAAUAUUUUAAAAAUAUUGUAAGAAGUUACAAUCGAUCUCAAACUUAAAGAGAUAAAAUGUAAUUUUUUUUUUUAAUGCAAUCUUGUUAAGGGUCACAGAAUGAGUUAAAUAUUCCCACGACUAUACGUAAGAAUCUCGGUCUGAUGGGAUGAAAAUAUGGCUCCCUUUGAAAGUAUUUUUUUUUUUUUUUUACAUUGCGUAGCAUGUUUGUCUUCCGCAAAACACUUCCAAGUAUCUUUUAAACCAAAAACAUUUUAAACUAUUUUUACUUAACAUUAUCAUGUCUCUGCAAUUGCUUUAGUUAUUUAAACAGCAUUUCGAAUUGGAAACAGGCUCUACAACAAGCUAGACAUAUGAAGUUCUGAGAAUAGUUGAUAAGCAAGUUGUCCAAACCAUAUUUAUGUAAUCUUUGGAGGGUUCAGUUUAAAGCAUUUUUCUGACAUCUAUCAUCUAAGUUCACCUCACCACUUAAAUUAAUUAUUUUUUAAUUUUUAAUUGAACGAAAAGUAAAAAAGGGGCAUAUUACAUGAAACGUAAUAAGAUUCCUAUCUAAUUUUUUUUCCAAGAACCAAAAAAAAAAUUACUUGUAUCGUUGAGCAUUGAUAGAGAUAUGCCGUCCAGUAAUCCAGAAAAUUAAUUUUAUGAUCAGCCAUGUAAGGAAAACGAUGAUGUGCAAUGCUUCUUGAGGAGUUUUGUUGCUUCUCAAUAAAAUCUAUUUAUUUGAAUUUCCUGCUUCUACUACUACCUAUUGCUUGAAGUUUGCAUAGAUUAUAGAAGCAUUUUUUAUUGUUCUAAUCAUACAUGUCGAUCAUUUCCAAUUAACUGGCGAUCUUGGUGGUGUUGUUUGGAGGAUGUCGCAAUCUUCUCUCCAUCCAGUUUGGGGGUUGUGUUUAGCCGAUCUCAGGCGUCUGUUGGGAACGAUGGUUUGAGAUGGUGGGUUGGUGGCGUUUUGGCAGUGGAGUAGCAAGUUGCUAGGAUUUGUUGCGGUUUUUUUGUGCUCAAACCUUUGUUUUGGGCCAUUUUUGCUUUUACUUUGAAGGUUGAGUUGAAUAUCAGAGUGCGCAACGAACAAGACUAACAAGAAUAAUAAGAAUAUUAUUAAACUAACUGAUAAUGCCGGAACGGCUACAAAACCCUAAGAGACUAAUAACUUGUUAUUUCUAUAGAGUUACAAAGUACCAUAUAUAUAGAAAAGUAAUCUAACCCUAAUAGACAAGAAAACGAAACCCUAAUUCUAACGGGCUAAGCCCAAAAUACCAAACAUUAAAAUAAAUCUAAAUAAUAAUAUUUUCCAAGACCCCCGUCAAACUCAUGGCGGUACACGACAUGAGUUUGCUAAAAUAGAUGUGGAUGCAAGACUUCAAAUUCCAGUGCUAAUGCCGAUGUCGAUGGCAAUGCUAAUGUCGAUGUCGAUGCCGAUUUCCAAUGCCAAAUUCCAAUACCAUGCCCAAUGCCAAGUUCCAAUACCAUACCCAAUGCAAGAAUACACGGGCAACAAAACCUCAAAACAACCAAAUUUUUUUUUCCUUCCUUCUCCCCCCCCCCCCUUUUUGUUUUCCUUCCUUCGUCCUUCCUUUUUUUUCUUAUGUGCGAACCAACCAGCAACAUCAGCCUUUCUUUUUUUUUUUUUUCACAGGUGUACGGUUGUGGACGGAUCCAGAUGCAAGGUGGGGCUGGGGAAUGCAGAAAUCCUAGUGCGAUGAAGCAUUUUCAAAUUUGGGUGUGAGACAAAUUCACCAAAUUCUUUUUUUUUUCAAAAACAGAAUUUUUUUUCCUUUCUUGAAGACUACCAAGGACAAACUGAAAACCAAACCAGAAAACGUAAAAAAUCUACGAAUGGAAACUGGAAAGAAAUAAAACUGAUACGAACAAACAGAAGUAGAUUAGAUCCCGAAGAAUCAAACAUGCUCUAAAACCAAGUUGAAUAUCAGAGUGCAACAAGACUAACAAGAAUAAUAGGAAUAUUAUUAAAUUAACUGAGAAUGCAGGAACGGCUACAAAACCUAAGAGACUACAUUGUGAAUAAUUUGUUAUUUCUAUAGUGUUACAAAAUACCAUAUAUAUAGAAAAGUAAUCUAACCCUAAUAGGCAAGGAAACGAAACCCUAAUACUAACGGGUUAAGCUCAAAAUAUCAAAUAUUAAAAUAAAUCUAAAUAAUAAUAUUUUCCAACCGGUUCAUAUUUGCGUUGUGUGCUUAUUGUAAUUGAAUUUCUUUCUUUGUAAUUUUGUUGUCUUGGUAAAAAUUUUACUCUAAAAAAAAUCGAGGCUUGAAAGCUCUUCCAAUAGAGCGCUACUAAAUGUCAAUAGACCAAAUGUUUGGCAAUCUUUUAUUUUCUUAUUUAAUUAGAACAUUAAUGAUGUCACCUAUUUGCACAUACAAUAAAAGCACACCACUUUGGAAUUAUUAAAUACGAGAUUUUUUUUUAGAACUGUUUCCAAGUUAUGCUCCUUGGAAGAGCAAGCCAUUGACGGUCACCCCGCCGUCGACGAUAAUAGUCUGCCCAGUAAUGUAAGAGGCUGCAGGUAGGCAUAGAAAUGCUACCAAGGAAGACACCUCCUCUGGCUCUCCAGGACGUCCUAAAGGGCACCGAGAGUUUAUCAUCUCCAAUUUCUUUUCAUUUCGGAGAAUCUGCAUGCAUAGAAGAGAUAAUGGAUGAAAAGAGAAUGGAUGUGUAGGACACAUAUAUUAGCGACCAUCUUAGUAAUUGGUCAAGCCCUUCGUAAACAAAUUAAUUAAGACUAGAAGUAUCAUCUAAACUUGCUGUAAACUUUUCACCCAGAAACUUGCUGUAAACAUGUCAGGUCUAAGAACCUAUACAUGAAUAAAAACAAAAGACAUAUGGACUUUUGGCAAAACCCAACUUUUUAUUCCAAUUUCGACUAUGGACUUUUAGCAGACUAAUAAAUGAAAUACGGAUUGGCCUGAAGUUAUGAGAUGAUUGUAAUAUGAUGUGUGAUAUUCACAUACUUUUUUUUACUUCUUACACAUCAUUUUAAUUUGCGACCGUCGAAUCGGAUAAAUUAAAAAAAGAUUAAAGAACAUAAAUCCAUAAGAGGUGUGUUGAUAGCACACCCCUUGUAAUAUAAGAAGUUCAAAGAAUUCACUCAUGUAUCUUAAAUGCGGUUUUGAUUUUCCUGCAGCAACAUCUGUUGUAUUUAAAAAAAGGAAAAUAAAAGGCAUGCACAAGAACGUGAUUAGAAUAAUCUUACAGGAUCAGUGAGGGGAGUCUUGAUGAACCAAGGUGCCACACUGUUGGUCCUUAUGUUAUCUCUCGCCCACUCACAUGCUAAGUUUUUUGCUAACUGAUUUAGUGCACCUGAGAUACAAUAAGAAAAGCCACACUUUGGUCUAACAUUUAAAAUCACACACCAAAAAUAUUGUAAUCAAAUUUUAGGUGCUUCUCAUCUCAACCUCUUUUGAAACUAGCCACUCCUCUUUUCUCCUCUUACCAAACCCUGAAUUUUCAAACUCCAUAGUUGCCGGCCUCUUGAUUCGACUGGAGGCCGAUGGCAAUCCCUCUCCCCAUUUUUCUAGCCUCUCUUCUUUAUCUUUUCAUAGAUUGUUGCUUAUUUAUUUACGUCUUAGUAUUUUUAUUAAUAAGUGUCUUUUUGGUGAGAUUUUUUGUGGGUAUUUCUUAAUGAGUGUUUUAAGUUGAUAUGGGUGCAGACCCUUUAAGGGAAGAGAUCCCUAUUUAAAAAAAAAAUGGGGCUCCCUCUUGACCAUUAUAUCUGACUUUAAUGAAAUUCUGUGGUUGAGAUUAAAUCACAGGCCACAGAAUUUCAUUAAAGUUAAAUCUAACGGUUAAGAGGGUGUCCCUAUUUUUUUUUUUGGAAAAUAGGGAUCCCUUCCCUUAAAGGCUUUCUAUAUAGGUGGGUAUCGGCUCAUUUUGUGUCUACUUUUUUGGAGUUGGUUUGCUGCAUGUCUUGCGCACAAAGUUCAUGUUGCGCACAAAAUUAGUUUUUAAUCUUAUAUAAAGUAUUAGUCUAAAAGUGAAUUUUUUAAGGAUUUGAAUGAAGUUUUUUUUUUUUAAAUUUUUUAAUUUACAAAUUAUAAACAAUAUAUGUUUAUUUUUUUUAUUUUUAUAAAGGUCAAAAUUAUAAAAGGAAAUUAACUAUAAGCACCUUUAGUGGCAGAAUAUAUAGAUCCAACAUCAAUUGAGACCACACCAGCAGUAGAGGACAAAAAAAUGAUGUUAGCAGCUCCUGAAGCUUUGAGAAGAGGAUGUGAAAGUUGGCACAAGUGGUAAACAGAUUCAAGAUUGGUACUCAUUACGAAUGAGUAGUCUUCAGCUGUGUACUCUAGCGUUGCUUUCAGUAUGCUAGUCCCCACAUUGUUUAUCUAUAACAAGAUAUUACUGGAAAGGUUUAGCAUAACAUAACGUUUUAGCUUGUAUGUAUUAUUGAAAAAAGCAUGAAAAUUACGUGUAUCAAUUGUAAAAAAUACAUACGUAAGUGUACAUCUUUGAGUUAAAAAAAAGUACAAUUUUACGAAUUAUUAAAACGUUUAUAGCAAACAGAAAUAUUUACGAGGAUGUUUAGUUUGUUAUGAAAACGUGAUGAUGAUUAAUGAUUCAUGCAUAUAUGUUAUUUCAAUUGAUCAGUCUACUACUUACAAGGAUGUUAAGUUUGCCUUCAAAAAGUGAUGAGACCUUAUUUAUAAGCUCCUCUCUUUGGGUUUUAGACACCACAUCACAGACUGAGCCAGUUACUUGGAAACCCUUCUUCUCCCACUGACUCAGGCAGUCAUUAAGGUCAGCUUCAUUUCGGGAACAAGUAUGCACAAUUGCACCCAGCCCUGCCAAUUCCUCCACUAUAGCAUACCUAAAUAAACACUUCACUAAUUUAGCAUAGAAUUGUAAAAAAUAAUUCAAACCCAUAAUUCUGAAACAGAAAAAAACAAGGGACAAUUGGACGGAUAAAGAGAAUAUUGUAUUGCGUGUUUAAGAAAAAUUGAAACUAAAAAAAAGAUUAACGUUCUUAAUUAUCCAACUUUAGAGAAGCUAACCCAAUUCCUUUGGUUCCACCAGUGACAAGAGCUGUCAUUCCACGAAGAGACCAUCUCCUCGCUCUGCUAUUCAUCUCUAUCUGCUCUCUAUUCUCCCUGUCUGCUCUCUGCAAAUACUUAGUGGUUUAUAUUUUAUAUUUCUAAUCGAUAAUGAUUAUAAGUCUUAUUUUGGUGGCCAGGGAAAAGUAAGCGUGCCAGCCGCCUACAAAUAGUUUCUCCUCAGCAACUUGCAACUUUUUCUUGUUUUUUUGGAAACUAGCAACUUGCAACUUUCAACUUUUUGUUUGCUUGUUUUGAUAUGGCAAAGUAUGCAAAUUGAUUGUUCUUCAAUUUGAAUUUGACUAAAUUAUAUUUCAUCCAAUCGUACAAUGUCAUUCAAUUACACACAACCUCCAAUCCAAUCGUUACAACCUCCAAUCCAAUCGUUACAAGUACAAUAAUUGAGGAUAAAUUUCAGAUUCAUAUUUCACACAACACGUUUGGAAUUCGAUUGCAUGCGUUGAUGAAUCACACAAUGGUGGCCAAAGAGAAGUUGAAAUGUCACCAAGUGCUUAUCUUUUAAAAGAUUAAUAAAAUACAACCUCUGAUUUGGUACUAAUGUCAUACAAUCGUUAGUCAAUCUGUCAAAUAAGUCAUUAGGUGAUGAUGUGACAAGUGCAGCUCACAUUUUGUUAACUUUUGAGUCCAAAUUUGUGCCCCAUGGUUAAAGCAAAUUAAAAGAAAAAAUAAUAAUUAUUAAUAAUGUAAAAAUUAGAAAUCAUUUUUUUUUUAAAGGAGUACACUAUUCAUUAAUAACUAGAACAACGUACAAAUAGGGAAAAUGUGCUAACAGAGGGCCUAUAUAAAAACCUUACCGGUAAGUAACCCAAAUAAUGUAAAAAGAGUAUGUCUCGCAUAAAAUAAUAAGGACUAAAUUCCAAACAACCAAAUGUUAACUGUGAACACCAUCCUCCAACAAGAGAUCAAAAAUUAAAUCAGGAGGUCCCUCAAACCACGAAACCGGAUGAUCCAAAGUUAAAUUGAAUCUAGCUAGUCGGUGAGCCACCGAGUUUGCAUUUCAUCGUACAAAGCCUGCUUUCCACGAUUUAAAGGACUGCAUAAUCCUCCUGGUGUCUUCCAAUAAUAACGCAAACGGUACAUGGUUAGCCAUUGCAUUGUUUUGGAUUGCAGCAACUACUAGCAGCGCAUCACCUUCCAAUAUAACCUGGUCAGCACGCCACUAAAGUGCAAAAACAGCAGCUUCCCGUGCUGCAGCAACUUCCGCCUGCAUCGAAUCUGGCCUUGAGCUUCAUUACAAACCUUAAUAGCAUGAAUCUGGCCUUGAGCUUCCCAAUCAUCCAACAAAGCCGAGAGGCCUUCUGCACAUAUUACAAACAAGAACGGAGACAAUGGAUCCCCUUGCCGAAUCCCUCGUUUUGGGUGUACGAAUCCCACAGGAUCCCCAUUAAACUUGAAAGAAUAAGUCACAGUAGUAACACACAUCAUAAUCCAAUUAAUCCAUUCCUCAGCAAACCCCAAAUGUCUCAUCAUUUGCUCAAGGGAAGACCAUUCAAUACGAUCAUAUGCUUUAUUGAUAUCUAGCUUCAAAGCCAUCACACCCUUCCAACCGCUAUUCUUUGUUUUCAUAGCAUGAACAAUUUCCGAAGCCACCAAACAAUUAUUGGAAAUUAACUGACCCGAGAUGAACCCACUUUGGGAAGGCGAAAUAAUGUCAGGUAACACCAACUUCAACCUGUUCAUGAGAACUUUGGAGCAUAUCUAUAUAUAACAUUACAUAAACUGAUUGAGCGAAGUUGAGACAUGAAAGUAGGGUCCAUUUUCUUAGGAAUAAGAGUAACGUGCGUAAAAUUAAUUUUGCUCAUCAUACUUCCUGAAGAAAGGAGAGAACGAACCCCCUCAUAGAUGUCAUGACCAACGAUAGGCCAAUGUUUUUGGUAGAAUCCCAGAGUCAUCCCAUCUGGUCCAGGCGCCUUAAUGGGGUGCAUUUGAAAAAGAGCAUUCUUGUUCUCGUCAUCAGAAAACGGUACCAAGAACCCUUGAUUCAUCUCAGCCAUCACCUUUGGAGAAACCGUGCGAAGAACAGCAGACGCAUCAACCUGACCCGUGGAAUCAAACAACUUCUGAAAAUAAUUAACUAUUACCGCAGCCAUGCCAUCCUUGCUUUCCUGCCACUGCCCAUCGUCAUCAAACAAACCAUACAAACCAUUACUUCGCAACCGCCUAGAAGCCUUUUGAUGAAAAAAUCUUGUGUUUUGCAAUAUCAUUUAAUAUUUUAUCUAAAAAUUAAAGAAAAAAAAGAAAGAAAAUUUGAAACGCAGAUCUUCAUCUUCCUGUCCACCCAAUGCAGGUGACGAUCCCCCUCCCUGCAAUCAUCAAACCAAAAAGCUCCGCCGAAAUCAAACAAUCACAAUCAUCAAACCACCACCACCGUCAGAUUCCCAUGUGACCAUGAUAAUUAAGCAGUGCGAUUAUUUCAUUUAGCUUUACAUUAUUACCUGUUUAAUCUUUUACAAACAUAUUAAUUUCUUAUCCUCUAAUUGGGCAAUUUACUGUUAAAAAGUUAUGUCCUUACUGGCUGUUUUAGCCAAGGUUCUAAAAAACGCUAGGCGCUAGUCGGGCGACGAGCCAGUGCCUAGGCGGCUUAGGUGGAUUUAGGUAAAUUUCUUAUAUAUCUUGUAGAUAAGUGCAUAUUGACACAUAAAAAAUUAUAUUUGUAUGAAAUUCAUGGAUAAGAUAAUAAAAGAAUGAUAAAAUAUAAAAAGAAUAUUUAGUUUUUAAAUAAUUAGUAUUUAAUUUUUAAAUAAUAAAUAUUUAAAAACCCCACCAAGUGGGUUUGGUAGUUCAUAAACAUUUAAAAAUCAAAUGGUCGUUCAUAAAAUCCACGUGUGAGAGGUUUGACACCUCCCUUCCACCUCCACUUUCUCACAUCAGGUAGGAUUCAAAAGGUGGAGCUAGUUAUGCCUUGGAAAGCGAUCUCACAUUAUUUUUUUUGGGUUUUCUUUUCCUCUUCUGCCUUGGAAAGAGGAAAGCCCCAUUAAUGUUUUGAAAUUUUUUACUUCUUCUCUUCUUCUCCUUCUCUGAUUACUCUAUUUUUCCAUUUCCUCUUCUUCUGUUGCUCUGUAAAUUUCCACAGUAGCCUUUCUCGCUUCUUCUCCGAGCUUCUUUCUGCUUCCAAGGCGCUCACUCUGUCUCUCUCUCUUCUAGCUGCCAAGUAACUUCCAGUUCUGCCCCCAUCAACUCUAUUAAUUCCACCAUGAAACUUUGCACAUUCUGCAACUCCAUCCAAAAUCCAUCUCUAAAGUUCCAAUCUUUUCUCUUAAUCUUCUCAGCUCCACCACUCAUUCUACCCCUCAGAACCCAACAAAUUACAUAUGGGUCCCUCCCAAAGUCCUCAAACAAGCUUCCUUUCCACCACAAUGUCACCCUCACAGUCACCGUCGCAGUCGGAACACCGCCGCAGAAUGUUUCGAUGGUCAUCGACCCCAGAAGCGAGCUUUCCUGGCUUCACAGCAACAAAACCCGGGACUAUAACAAGACAUUCGAUCCGACCCAAUCCACCUCCUACUCCCCCGUCCCAUGCUUCUCAUCCACUUGCACGAACCGGACAAACCUUGCCAAUUUAUGAAACGAUUUUGAGUUAAUCGCGGCGAAGCACCGCCGCCUAGCGCCCAGGCACCGCCUAGGCGGCCGCCUCAACCGUUUUUUAGAACACUGAUUUUAGCUCACUCCUCUUUUGUUUUGCAGGUUUACAAAUAGACAAUCAAAAUGGUAGAUGGAAUGAGAUUGAAUUAGUUUUGAGGCUAGAAGUUCAAUUAAUUUUUAUUUUGGACUCGUCGAGAAGUAUGAUUUUCGUUUUUGAAUCACUUGAUUUCGUUGAGUAUUAAAGAAGGUAUGAACGUUUAAAGUUUACCCAGUUUCCAGCGAGUUUUUCAGUUUUCCCUCGGACCAGUCAACUUUGAGACUAUUUUCCGGCCAUCUCUAGAAAUCAUUGGGCUUCCAAAUAGGUAUAAUUUUAUUCUACACUUUCUUAUCUUCAUUUUGAUAUAUUAUAGGUUGAAUUUGGCUAAGAAACGAUUGAGUUACGAAGUUUUCAAAAUUGCCCAAACUUCCGGCUAAAAGCUCUGGGACACUUAAUUGAGUUUUUAACGGAAUGAUCAAAAUGAUGGAUGGUGGACAAUCUCAGGGAUCACUUUUAUUGAUUUGGAAUGUUAUGAACCAAAGUGAUAAGUUAUACAAAUCACAGAGACCAUUUUAGCUAUUUAGCCAGUAGAAAAAUAAUUCAAAUCCAUAAUUCAUCCACGGACGUUUGCAACUUUUUGUUUGCUUGUUAUCAUGUCACAAACGACGCAAAAUGAUUGUCCUUGAAUUUGAAUUUGGGUAACCUUAAAUUUUCGUCCAAUUUCAAUAUUAUACCUCUCUCAAUUUUUAUAUACCAGCCGUCAAAUUUGAUUAAGUGAUAAAAUGAAAAGUUUGGAACUUAUAUUUUACUGAUUUGGAGUCCAAAUUUAUGCCACAAGUUAGAACAAAUUAAAAAAAAAGUUUUAUUAUUAAUAAUGUAUAAAUUAGAAAAUCAUCUGCAAGAUCAUUUAAUAUUUUAUUUAAAAUUUAAAAAAAAACAAACGAAGGAUUUUUAUCACAAAUGGUCCAUGAAAUUGAUCCCUCAAUCAUGAUGGUCUCUAAAAUUGAAAAUCGAUCAAUGUAAUCACUGAAUAUUAGUCCCGCAAAUCAAUGUCUUUCUGUCACUGUUCCGUCCAAACUAGCGUUAAGAGAUUUUUUGGAAUUAGAUAAGAUAUAUAUUUUUUCCCUGAUCUCAAGCAUUGUCUCUUCUACUACAUAUGCAUACAUAUAGAACUAUUUCCAAGUCAUGCUCCUUGGAAGAGCAAGCCAUUGAUGGUCACCUCGCCGUCGACGAUAAUAGUCUGCCCAGUAAUGUAAGAGGAUGCAGGUAGGCAUAGAAAUGCUACCAAGGAGGACAACCUCUGGCUUUCCAGGACGUCCUAAAGGUCACCGAGAGUUUAUCAUCUCCAAUUUCUUUUCAUUUCCGAGAAACUGCGUUUAUAGAAGAGAGAAUUGAUGUGUAGGACACAUAUAUUACAAGCGCUUCAUUAACAUAAUAAAUAAGGCUAGAAGUAUGAUCUAAACUCGCUGUAAACUUUUCAUCAAAAAACUUGUUGUAAACAAGUCAGGUCUAAAAUUGAACCUAUACAUGAAUAAACAAAAGAUAUAUUGAACGCGAUUUAAGAUGUUUAGAAUAACGGUAGCCGGCUAUCUAGGCAGCUUUGGAGGUGGUUAGCAUGUCAAUUAUGUAUCUCUAUGUCUUUUUCAGAUUCUCUGGUUGCUUUUUGGGAUGCCUACGUAAGCCCUUUUCCUAACAACUGCACAAUCUAUGGAUUUUUUCGAAUCUUUAUACUAUUUUGACUAUUUGGAAAUCUCAAAAUAGGUUUAUUUUUUAGGGUCACCCAAUCUAUUUUCAUCGGCUUUGCAUGUCUAUCAAUUUUGGGAUCGUUCAUGGUUGGAAGUUUAUUCCUACUUAUUCUCAAGGCACUAGUCUAUCCUUGGCAAGGCUUCAACUAGUCAUCCUGUGCUUUGGUCUUUCCUUGGAUUAAACUUAAUACAGAUGGUUUGUCCAAAGGAAAUUCCAGUCCUACUCCUUGUGGAGGAGUUUUCAAAGAUUGCCAUUGCACAACCCGUCUCGAUUUAUUUUACGGGUUUUACGGAACGGAAGGUUAGUCUCAUAAUUUCACUUUGGUUUUAAAAAUGUGUUUGAAAAGGGUUUCUUUUGGACCUUAAAUGGUGUGCCCAAGGGGGCCCACCCCUAAUUUUCUGUCCCUGAUUCCCCUUUCCCCCGCCUGCCACGUGGCAAACCCCUACCCACUUCAUUUCUCAUUCUCUUCUCCCCGAGCACUCACUCUCUCAGCUCUAUAUCACUCUCUUUCACACACUCAACCUCUCUCCCUCAUCCCGAUUCACUCACACAUCCACACACCCAAAUCAAGGAAAGCAACGGCGACGGCGACACCAUCACAUCCACCGUGGUAGCACUCUCCCUCAUAUCUGUGAAGAAACCGGACACCUAGAGGGCACCCAAACCAAGACUUCGGCGAGCCCAGUGGGUUUCGAGCAAUGAAUCGGCCACCUUCGGCCAUUCCACGAUGAUUAGGAGGUAACCAAUCUUUCCUUUUUGUCUCUAUUUCAUUUUGGUACCUAGAUCGAGUCUUAGGUGUGAGCAGCGACGUCGACCGAAACUCAAGAGGCUCCGGCUUCCUUCCCCAGCGAGAAUAGGUAGCCAAGGCCCUUGGGUCGAGGAAACUAAGGCCUUUGGCCCGCUAAAGCUUUAGCCCAAGACCAAAGGGUUUCAGCCUGUGAGCUUUAGACCCAAACCCUUUUUAUUUAUAUUUAUUUUGUUUUCUUUUAAAAACCCAAAAACAAUCGGGCUAGGUUUCAAGCCCAACCCAGCCCAUUUAAAAACCCCUUAACCUUUUUAGACCCUUGCCUUAGGGCCGUUUGAGAUUAGGUCUUUGGGCCUUUGCAUCCGAGCCCAAACCCUUUGAAGCAAGCUUUCAGGCCAUGUAGAAGUUGGGCCUUUGGGGCCUGUGUAAAUCGAACCCAACCCAGAGAGAGACAGGCCUUUGGGCCAUCCAACUUGGGCCUCCAGCUCGGUAGUCUUAAUCCCAACUCGAACCCAUGAACCAUUGAUCGACUCGGACCCGUUAACCGUUGACUGGUUCGACCGUUAACUUAGUCAACAUUGAUCGUUGACUUUGACUUUGGUUUGUUGACUUUUUCUGGUUUUGUUCAGAAACCUUCUAGGCUAAUUUCGACGUCCUAGAACCGUUUUUUAUGUCCGUUUUCCCAAAUUCAAUUGUUUGAAUAUAGUUUUAUUAAUUGGACCAUUUAUGUGCUUAGGGGCAAUUAUUUGUGGUGUUUCCAUCUUAACUAGUUUGCGUGGCUCUUCGGCAGCGAGGUAUCUGUGAUUGGACCCUUUCUAAAAUGCAUGUUUUAAUAGUAGAAAUGCAUACAUGAAAAAUAUGAUUUAAUGAUUAAGUUUUAUGAAAUGUUUUAUGAGAUAUUAUCUUACUGAGAAUAUAUUGAAUUAUCAUAUUUUAUCGAACUAAUGUUCUUUGUAGUAUAUAUGAUGGAUGACUAUAUACUGCUUACGAACAUGCUUUUACACACUUUUUUAUAGUAUAUAUGAUGGAUGACUAUAUGCUAUGAAGAUGAUUUUGAGAUAUAUGUAUUUAUAUUUUGGGAAAUACUAUACUCAAUGUUUUUGUGUGUAUCUAGUGGUCACUGUUCUACCUACGGGCAAUGAUACUUAUAUUGGCUUCGGCUGGGCGUAAGUUGGUGCCUGUUUGGCAAAUGUAGUGUUCUGAAGGAAAUGUUCUAAAUGAGGAGUUCUCUAUGCCUUCGGGCGAUAUUGAUACCACUAGUUAGCACAUUAUAUACGUGAUAUUUAAGGUUUUAUGGCAUGCUAGGGUUUCAGAAACCUAUUACAUAUUAUAUUAUUGAAUUUCCAUAAACCUUUAGGGGUUAGUAUGUUGAUAAUUAUUUCAUUCUUAUAUGUAUAUCAACUUGGUCCGCUCUUGUUUGUUUUGCACCCCCUCAGGACUUAGAUUUGAGGUGUAAAAUCCCGGCAUCAAGGCACUUCCGCAUCGGCAUCUUCAAGUCUUCUUGGUGUAGGACCCAUUCCUUCAUUCAUUUAAUUUUAUAUUAUUUCGUUGGUUUUUACAUUAAAGUGACGUGAAUUAGAAAUCUCAUUAAGAGGAAGUCUGGUUAAGACCAGCUGAAGAUCCGAAAUGACGAUGCCACUUUGUAACAUGUGUUUCCCUAGGAAUUGGGAGCAGAGUCGGAUCUUCAUCGGAAUGUUGGGAAAUGAAAAAAUCUUAGUGGUACGAGUUGGUUAAGACCAACUGGAAAUCUAAGCGGUGUUGGACUCUGCGACAUGUGUACCCUAGGAAUGGCGGGCAGAGUCAUAUCCUUAUGGAAAUUACUUGAAAGUUCGUGUUAGAGAAAAUGAGUAAACGCUAGUUGUUACGAAGUUUAGUAAAUGGUAGUUUGGUGGGAUUGAAUCAAUGUUCUUGGACUCGUUUCCACUGAGAAAAUUCUUGUGGAUCUUUAGAACAAUUCUCGGUGAUUGUUCUAUCAAUAACUUUCUUGCUUACUCCAAUAGCGAAGUCAAGUCCCCUAACCUUUGACUGUCAACUUCACAUCAAAUUAUUCGAACGUUGUUUUUUACUAGAGUAUAGAAAUGUCAACUGCACUAUUGUGUACCACCUCGAUUGUGCAAGCGUAGUUGCUGAAUACCUCGGUAGAAAAAACACACAAAGCUCAAAGGGGAUAUAGGUUGAAUGUUUUGGCUUCCUAAUAAUGAGGCAUGGUAGAUCAGCAGAGUAAUGCAAUUGCAUAUUGCGAUGAUUAACCAAAUAAUCAUAAACAGUGACUUCUAUUUUUGCAUCUUCACUUUCCUUGGUUAUUUGUUCCUCAAUGUAAAACUAGAUCAUACUGUCGUACUGAUGUUUUUUACUACCCUUCCCGCCAAGCCCAUUCUGAUCAUGUAAACCUAAUCGAACAAUUAUCUAGUAAGACCGUAUUGGAUUAGAAAACCUGAAAAGCCAAAUCUACUAAAAUCAUAUAAAUUUGUCAGGAGGUUCAAAACAUCAAAUUAUUUCACGAGUUGCUGGACGAAGUUGAUUGACAAGUUAUAUUAAUAGGUGUGUUUUUGUGGAUGCGUACGCCCAGUUUCAUAUCGAUUCAGACAGGAAUGUUAGGAGUGUAACCUUUUCACAAGCUUACCAGAAUUACCGGAAAGACUUCCAUGUAGAUGUGAGCUUUGAGUCGUCUUUUAGUAAGAGAAUGAUGAAGAUUAUAGCGCAGGUGGUCAGCGAAUUGCAUCAUCAAUCAUUAUCUUCACGCAUAAAUGAAUAGUCACCACUCAUUAUUUUGCUGCAAUUCAUGAACAUCAUAUCGUACUUUAGUAGUUCUUUCCCAAUGAUAUGAUGCCUAUGAAUUGUAGCAAGAUAAGGAGAUGUGUGCGCUUCAACGCAUCUUUCCAAUGUUUCACUCCAAGACCUUAUUGUUCUUGAGUACGUGGAUGUCAAAACACUUUUAGUAGAUUUGAUUGGUGCGCUCUGGAAUGGUACCACAUCACGGUCAAGGCGAGAAUCAAAUGAUCUUUUCACACUCUCAUGUUGCUGAGCAAAAUGGUAUUUUGGCACUUUUGGCGACAUGGUACGAGAACUUUUACAGGCAACACCUGUUGACAAAGGGAUUUUUGCGAACUUGUAUCUGGAGGAUCGAAUUUAUGAUGUGAGAAAUUAUGCACCCUUAAGAAAUCACUGCUUGCUUACUGAGACAAUAAUGGGUGGUUGAUAUCGUGGGGAGCUGACUGUGAUAUCGAUAGCUUAUUCGUUGGAUCCGUUAAGCAUGUGGGCAGGUAGACCCAUCUACGGUAGAUAUUACUGAGUAGUCAUCGUUGGGGCUCGACCCAAAGACAAUUUUUCUCGUGGUACAUGACGUUACAUAUACGUGGGUGAAACCCACUUUCAUUUUCGGUUUUGGUUUUUAGUACAAGUAUUUUAACUUACAUAUUAUAGUUGUACGUGUUUUCUGAAGUUAAACAAAAAUUGGUCGAGUUAUUUCCACUUUCACUGUUGAGUUCAAUACGAAUUAUUCGACCUCUAUGUUAUUACUUAUCUAUUUUGACGUUAUCAUAUUUUGCAUACUUAUUUUUGAUGUUUUCGACUUUAUAUCUUUAUAAAGUAUGUUUUCUACUUUUACACUGAUGGGGAAAGAAAGUAUGAGCCUGGAGGCACGAAAGAUGGAAUCAUUGCAACCUGAUCACGAUGGUGUGGCAUUUUCCCUUUUCUACAACUGCUCUGACUUGAUUUCUUCUAUACAUAUAUAUUUUCUUCUCCCUAUUUUCAAGUUUUUUAGUGUAGCAAGUUAUUUUAAAUUUCGUGACAAAAUUUUAUUUAAUGGGGGUAGAUUAUGACAACCCGUCUCAAUUUAUUUUGUGAGUUUUACGGAACGGAAGGUUAGUCUCGUAAUUUCACUUUGGUUUUAAAAAUGUGUUUGAAAGAGGUUUGUUUUGGACCUUAAAUGGUGUGACCAAUGGGGACCACCCUUAAUUUUCUGUCCCCGGUUCCCUUCUUCCCCACUUGCCACUUGGCAGAUCCCUACCCAUUUCCUUUAUCUUCUCCUCGAGCACUCACUCUCUCAGCUCUCUAUCACUCUCUCUCACACACUCACCCUCUAUCCCUCAGACUAUUUCCCUCACCCUAAUUCACUCACACAUCAACACACCCAAAUCAAGGAAAGCAACGACGACGGCGACACCACCACAUCUACCAUGGUAGCAUUAUCCCUCUCCCUCGUCUCUGUGAAGAAACGGGACACCUAGAGGGCACCCAAACCCAGACUCCAGCGAACCCAAUUGUUUUGAGCAAGGAAUUGGCCACCUCCGACUAUUCCACGAUGAUUAAGAGGUAACAAUUUUUUCCCUUUCGUCUCUAUUUCAUUUUGGUACCUAGAUCGAGUCUUAGGUGUAAGCAACAAUGUCGACCGAAGCUUGGGAAGCUCCGGCCUCCUUCCCUAGCAAGAACAGGUAGCCAAGGCCCUUGGGCCGAGGAAUCUAAGGCCUUUGGCUUGCUAAACCCUUAGCCCAUGACCAAAGGGUUUCGGCUCGUGAGCUUUAAACCUAAACCCUUUUUAUUUUUAUUUAUUUUGUUUUCUUUUAAAAAUCCAAAAACAAUCGGGUCAUGCUUCAAGCCCAGCCCAAUUGAAAACCCUUUAAUCCUUUCGAACCUAGGCCUUAGGGUCGUGUGGGAUUUGGACUUUGAGCCUUUGCAUCAGAGCCCAAACCCUUGUAGCCCCAAACCCUUUAAAGCAGGCUUUUGGGUCGUGUGGAAGUUGGGCCUUUAGGGCACGUGUAAAUCAAACCCAACCCAAAGAGAGGCAGGCCCUUGGGCCUCCGACCCGGUAGCCUGAAGCCCAACCCGGUUCGACCCGAAAUCGUUGACAGACCCGGACCCGUUGACUGUUGACUUUGACUUUGACCGGUCAAAGUGGACUUUUUGUUGACUUUUUCGGGUUUUGUUUAGGAACCCUCCUAGGUUAAUUUCGACAUCCUGGAUCCAUUUUUGACAUUUGUUUUCCCAAAUUCAAUCGUUUGAAUAGAGUUUUAUUAAUUGGACCCUUUAUGUGCUUAGGGGUAAUUAUUUGUGGUGUUUUUGUCUUCUUUAGUUUGCGUGGCUUUUCGACGGUGAAGUAUCUGUGAGUGGACCCCUUUUUAAAAUGAAUGUUUUAAUAGUAGAAAUGCACACAUGACAAGCAUGAUUUAAUGAUUCAUUUUAUGAAACGUUUUAUGAGAUAUUAUGCUUACUAAGAAUAUUUUGAAUUAUCAUAUUUUAUCGAACUGAUGUUCUUUGUAGUAUAUAUGAUGGAUGACUGUAUACUGCUUACGAACAUGCUUUUACACACUUCUUUAUAGUAUAUAUGAUGGAUGACUAUAUGCUAUGAAGAUGAUUUUGAGAUAUAUGUACUUAUAUUUGGGGAAAGACUAUAUUCAAUGUUUUUGUGCGUAUCUAGUGGUCACUGUUUUGCCUACGCUCAUCUUUCUCCUUUUACCAUACUUUAAACAUACAAACUCCAUAGUCGCUGCCCUUCCUCCUACUGGAGGCCGGUGGCAAUCCCUCUCCCCAUUUUGCUAGCCUCCCUCUUUUAUCUUCUCAUAGAUUGUGACUUAUCUAUUUUUUGUCUAAGUAUUUUUGUCAAUAAAUAUCUCCUUGUUGAGAUUUUUUCAGUCCUUCUUCAUGAUUAUUUUAAUUUUGUGUUCGUAUGUUAUUGGCUUCUUCUGUGCAACUUUGUUGAAAUUGGUUCAUUGAUUGUGUUGCACACAAAAUUAGCUUUUAAUCUGCUAUAAGGUGUUCGUCUAAAAGUGAUAUUUUUUUUUUUUAAAGAUUUGAAUGAAUUUUUAACUAAUUAUAAACAAUAUAUGAUACUUUUCAAAAUUUUAAUAGAAGUCGAAAUCUAUAUAAGGAAAUUAACUAUAAGCACCGUCUUAUUUGGCAGCUCGGACUGUACUGACUAUUUCUAUUAGAUAUGAUAAAUAGCCACCAGAUAGUACUGAGUAAAUUAGUCGAGUGUUUGGUGUAGUAUCAGACUAAUAACCGUAUUAUUUAUACUGUGUUUGAUUUUAUACCGGAUAGGAGGAAUCAAACUUAAAAAAAAAAAAAUUAAACUUAAAAAACAAAACAGAAACCAUCACUUUUGUUCCCAGAUCUCUCCGCCGCACCCCUCAAACUCCCUCAAUCUCUCUCCCUUCUUCUUCUUCCCCGACUACAGAAGAAUCCCAAAUAAUUGUUCCCCAAAUCUCUUUGUCGCACCCCCCCCAAACUCCCUCCCUCUCUCUCCUUUCUUCUUCCCCGAUUGCAGAAGAAUCCCAAAUAAAUUCAAACAGCCAGUUGCGGAAGAAUCCCAAAUUGAAAUCAUCUCUCCGCCGCACCAUGUUUCUUUGCAAGACCCAGUUGCAGGGGAGAACAACGAGUAGGCAAUGAGGAAGGCCACAAGGAGACGAGGACUAGGAGAGCAAAGAUGGCGAGAGAAAGUGACGGCGACAGAAAACAACGGUGAGAGAAAGCGACGGGGAGGACGGCGAUGGUGAAAGAAGGUGACGGGGAGGACGAUGACGCCGAGAGAAGGAGAGAGAGAGAGAAGGCCAACUAAUAAUCCGAGCAUUUUGGUUGGUUUUAUUAAUCCGACGUAUACUGUGUUAAAUAAACAGACCAGUUAAAUUAAUCUGGCGCUUAUUUAGUACGAGUGAACGCCAAACACCCACGUCUGUAUAACUAGUCCUAUUCGAUCCUUUAUCCGAUCUGCCAAACAGGGCCUUAGUGGCAGAAUAUAUAGAUGCAACAUCUAUUGAGACCACACCAGCAGUAGGGGACAAAAAAAAAACAAUGUUAGCAGCUCGUGCAGCUUUGAGAAGAGGAUGAAAGUUGGCACAAGAGGUAAGCAGAUUCAAGAUUGGUUAUGAAUGAGUAAUCCUCAGCAGUGUACUCUAGAGUUGCUUUCGGUAUGACAAUCCCCACGUUGUUUAUAUAUAACAAGACAUUAUUGAAAAGGUUUAGCAUAACAUAACGAUUUUACCUUAUAUGUAUUAUUGAAAAAUGCAAGAAAAUUAUGUGUAUUAAACAUAAAAAGUACAUACAUACGUGUAGAUCUUUGAGUUUUAAAAAACAUACAAUUUUACGAAUUAAUGAAAUUUGAAACGUGUACAACAAACAAAUUUAUUUACGAGGGGAUGUUAAGUUUGUUAUGGAAGUGUGAUGAUGAUUCGUGAUUCAUGCACAUAUGUUAUUUUAACUAAUUAGUCUUCUACCUACAAGGAUGUUGAGUUUGCCAUCAGAAAGUGAUGAGACCUUGUUUAUAAGCUCCUCUCUUUGGGUUUUUGACUUGAAGACAGAUCCGGCCUCGGGAGUUGCGAUGGACCUUGUUUAUAAGCUCAUCUCUUGGCUGAAUGGAAGUAUUGACCAAGGCAACUGGGAGGUUUUCCAGACCAAGUGGGAGAUUUGUUGAGAAGGUGCGGAUUUCAGUUUGUGUGAAUGGUCUUGGGUACCGAGAUCAGCCAAUAGAGCGGCGGAUUUUGUGGUGUCGCAUGUUGGAGCGGAGAUAUGCGACUUAGUCUGGGUUCAACGACCCCCAUCUUCGUUUAUUCGGAAUCUGAACAAGGAUGGUCUACCCUGCCCUCCAACUUAGCUUUUGUUAGAUGUGAUUAAGGUGACAUUGGGGGGGGGGGGGGGGUGCAUACGUGUCGUAGUUUUUCCCUUAGUCCCGUUUAUUUCUGAUGUUGUUUGCCCAAGGUGGCUUUCUGUACUCCUAUUUGGCUUUGGCCCUAGUGAAUGAUAUUUUCCGAUUAUUCAAAAAAAAAAAAAAAAACACACUAUGCAAAUUGAUUGUCCAAUUUGAAUUUGACUAAAUUAUAUUUCAUCCAUUUUCAACAUCGUACAAUGUCUUUCUAUUUCGUACAACUUCUUAUUCAAUCAUUACACGAUGGUCCAGUAGUUUAGGACGAAUUCUAAACUCGUAUUCGAUAAAACUCGUUCUGAAUUUGAUUCAUAACACUGGUGAAUCAUACACUAUAAUUUUGGAGCUAGAAAACAAAUGGAAAGUAUUAGAGAGUGGGAGAGAACUUUGUGUUUACAGUACCACGUCCAGAAUGAGAUCGAUGUCAUUUUGGUUAAUUUUUUAGCAAAUACUACAUUUUCUUAAUGCAAUCUUGUUAAUGGUAACAUAAUGAGUUUAAUGCUCACAAGAUCUCAAAAAUUGCAUAGCAUGUUAUUCUUCCACAAACAGUUCAAGUACUUUUUAAACCAAACACAUUUUAAACUAUUUUUAAUUAACAUUGUCAUGUUUGCAAGCGCUUUAGUUAUUUAAAAGCAUUUUGAAUUGGAAACGGGCCCUACAACAAGCUAGACAUAUGAAGUUUUGAGAAUACUUGAUGAGCAAGUUGUCCAAACCACAUUUAUGUAAUCUUUGGAGGGUUCAGUUGAUGGUGCUUAAAGCGUUUUUCUGACAUCUCUCAUCUAAGUUCACCUCACAACUUAAAAUAAUUAUUUUUUAAUUUUUAAUUGCAUGAAAAGAAAAAAAAAGGGACAUAUUAUUACAUGAAACAUAAUAAGAUUCCUAUCUUAAUUUUUUUUCUAAGAACAAAAAAAAAACCUUGUAUCGUUGACCAUUGAUAGAGACAUGCCGUCCAGUAAUCCAGAAAAUUAAUUUUAUGGAAAACUAAUGAAAAUAGCUUGAAAACUUUGAGUUUUAAAGAUAAGGACAAAAUAAAGAAAAAAGUGAAUAGUACAAGGAUUGACUUUUUAAUGUAAAAAUAUGAUUUUUCGUUAAAGUGAAUAGUACCACUGGCUUUUCAUUAAAACUCCCUUAAUUUUAUGAUCGGCUUUGUAAGGAAAGCGAGGAUGUGCGAUGCUUCUUGAGGAGUUUUGUUGUUUGUCAAUAAAAUCUAUUUAUUUGAAUUUCCUGCUUCUAGUACUACCUACUGCUUGAAGUUUGAACAUAUUAUAGAAGCAUUUUUUAUUGUUCUAAUCGUACAUGUAGAUCAUUUCCAAUGAACUGGCAAUCUUGGUGUGUUGUUUGAAGGAUGUUGGAGUCUUCUCUUCAUCCCGUUUUGGGGUUGUCUUCGGCCGAUCUCAGGCAUCUAUUGAGGGCGAUGGUUUGAGAUGGUGGGUUGGUGGCGUUUUGGCAGUGGUGGAGUAGCAAGUUGCUAGGAUUUGUUGCGGUUUUUUCUUUUGUGGUGAGCUCAAACCUUUGUUUUGGGCCAUUUUUGCGUUACUCUGAAGGUCUACAUCCACGCUGUGUGCUUAAUGUAAUUGGAUCUCUUUCUUUGUAAUUUUGUUGUCUUGGCAAAAAUUUUACCCUAAAAAAAAUCUAGGCUUGAAAGCUCUUCCAAUAUAGCGAAACUAAACGUCAAUAGACCAAAUGUUUGACAAUCUUUUAUUUUCUGAUUUAAUUAGAACAUUAAUGAUGUCACCAGUUUUCACAUACAAUAAAAGCACACCACUUUGGAAUUACUAGAUACGAGAUUUUUUUUUUUAGAACUGUUUCCAAGUUAUGCUCCUUGGAAGAGCAAGCCAUUGACAGUCACCCCGCCGUCGACGAUAAUAGUUUGCCCAGUAAUGUAAGAGGCUGCAGGUAGGCAUAGAAAUGCUACCACGGAAGACACCUCCUCUGGCUCUCCAGGACGUCCUAAGGGGCACCGAGAGUUUAUCAUCUCCAAUUUCUUUUCAUCUCGGAGAAACUGCGUGCAUAGAAGAGAUAAUGGAUGAAACGAGAAUGAAUGUGUAGGACACAUAUAUUACCGAUGAUCUUAAUAAUUGGUCAAGCUCUUCGUAAACAAAUUAAUUAAGACUAGAAGUAUGAUGUAAACUUGCUGUCAACUUUUCACCAAAAAUCUUGCUGUAAACAAGUCAGGUCUAAAAUUGAACCUAUACUUGAAUAAACAAAAGACAUGGACUUUUGGCAAACCCCAACUUUUUAUUCUAAUUUUGCCUAUGGACUUUUGGCAGUCUCAUCAAUGAAAUACUGAUUGGCUUAAAGUUAUGAGAUGAUUGUAAUACAAGUAGUUAAAAGAAUUCACUCAUAUAUCUUAAAUUCAAUUUCGAUUUUCCUUCCAGAACAUCGAUUGUAUUAGAAAAAAUGAAAAUAAACAGCAUGCACAAGAACGUGACCAGGAUAAUCUUACAGGUUCAACGAGGGGAGUCGUGAUGAACCAAGGUGCCACACUGUUGGUCCUUAUGUUAUCUUUCGCCCACUCACAUGCCAAGUUUUUUGCUAACUGAUUCAUUGCACCUGAUGAGAUACAAUAAGGAAAAGCCACACUUUUGUCAAACAUUAAAAAUCACACACCAAACAAUGUAAUCAAAUUUUAGGGGUUUCUCGUCUCAACCUCUUAUGGUUUAAAAAAAAUAAAAAAAAAUAAAAAAAAAACUAGCUGCUCCUCUUUCUCCUCUUACCAAACCCUAAAUCUUCAAACUUCAUAGUCGCCAGCCUCUUGCUCCGACUGGAGGCAGUGGCAAGCCCUCUGCUCAUUUUUCUAGCCUGUCUCCUUCAUCUUCUUAUCGAUUGUUGCUUAUUUAUUUUUCAUCUUAGCAUUUUUGUCGAUAAGUGUCUCCUUGGUGAGGUUUUUUGUGAGUAUUUCUUCGUGAGUGUAUUAAUUUUGUAUUGGUGUGUUAUCGGCUCCUUUUGUGUCUACUUUGUUAACACGAAAUUCAUGUUGUGCACAAAAUUAGCUUUUAAUCUUAUAUAAGGUAUUAGUCUAAAAGUGAUAAGGAUUUGAAUGAAGUUUUUUUUUACAAAUAAUAAACAAAAUAUGUUUUAUUUUAUUUUAUUUUAUUUUAUAAAGGUCAAAAUUACAUAGGGAAAUUAACUAAGCACCUUUAGUGGCAGAAUAUAUAGAUCCAACACCUGCUGAGACCACACCAGCAAUAGAGGACAAAAAAACGAUGUUAGCAACUCCUGAAGCUUUGAGAAGUGGAUGUGUAAGUUGGCACAAGUUGUAAGCAGAUUCAAGAUUGGUCUCAUUAUGAAUGAGUAAUCUUCAGCUGUGUACUCCAGCGUUGCUUUCGGUACGACAGUCCCCACAUUGUUUAUCUAUAACAAGACAUUAUUGGAAAGGUUUAGCAUAAUAUAACAAUUUUAGCUUAUAUGUAUUAUUAAAAAAUGCACGAAACGUGUACAUCUUUGAGUUUUAACAAACCUACAAUUUUACGAAUUAUUGAAACGUCUACAACAAAAAGAAAUAUUUACGAGGAUCUUAAGUUUGCCAUGAAAGAGUAAUGAUGAUUAAUGAUUCAUGCAUAUGUGUUAUUUCAAUUGAUCAGUCAUUUACUUACAAAAAUGUUAAGUUUGCCAUCAAAGAGUGAUGAGACCUUGUUUAUAAGCUCCUCUCUUUGGGUUUUAGACACCACAUCACAGACUGAGCCAGUGACUUGAAAACCCUUCUUCUCCCACUGACUCAGGCAGUCAUUAAGGUCAACUUCAUUUCGGGAACAAGUAUGCACAAUCGCACCCAGCCCUGCCAAUUCCUCCACUAUCGCAUACCUAAAUAAAUACUAAACUAAUUUAACAAACAGCAGUAAAAAAAUAAUUCAAACCCAUAAUUCUAAAAGAGAAGAAAACAUGGGAUAAGUGGAGAAAUAAAAUGAAUAUUGCAUUGCAUGUAUAGGAAAAUUGAAACUAAAAGAAGAUUAAUGUUCUUGAG